GACGGUAUAGCUCAGUGGUAGAGUGCCUGCUUAGCAUGCAUGAGGCCCUGGAUUCAGUACCCAGUACCUCCG
RNAcentral lists this transfer RNA (72 nucleotides) under Camelus bactrianus (Bactrian camel). It matches the Rfam family "tRNA". Rfam says of the family: Transfer RNA (tRNA) molecules are approximately 80 nucleotides in length. Their secondary structure includes four short double-helical elements and three loops (D, anti-codon, and T loops). RNAcentral also lists the same sequence under 2 other names. The record is from Rfam by way of RNAcentral. Lineage: Eukaryota; Metazoa; Chordata; Mammalia; Artiodactyla; Camelidae.